GCCGCUGAGAAUAUGCAUGGGUAUCAC
This 27-nucleotide non-coding RNA is filed under the name Mus musculus (house mouse). Lineage: Eukaryota; Metazoa; Chordata; Mammalia; Rodentia; Muridae. The record is from RNAcentral.